GGGACCCCACGUGGGCCUGGCUGUGGCCAUGGUGUGGUGAUUUUGGGGUGUGAGCCCCGUGUGCGUCCUCACCCCGGUGCGUCGCGGCAGCCUCUGAAGUUCCCCAUGUGUGACCUUGUGCCUCCCCUCUCCUGCUGCAGAGGCAGAGUCGAAAGAUGUCCCGGAGAGUCCGAAGGAGCCCGAGAAGUCGGAUCCUGGAGAAAACCCACAGGAGCCAAACUCUUGGAAUGGGCCAGGUCUGUAAAAACCACGCCAGGAGCAGCCGGGCUGGAGGCAGCGGGGACAUCGCGCGCCCCGGCGCGGGGAGGACUCUGUCCUGCCCCGCCACGCGCUGCCGAGGCCACUUCGCACACAUCCUGGCAACCACAAGAGUGAAGCUCGAGUGGUUUGGUGAUGCUUAUCAAAACCCCAAGCAGCGAAUAGAGCCAACUAUCUCCCUGCUGGCAUCUCCGCGCGGGGGCCGGCCAGCCGUGUGGGUGCCCCGCGCCCUAUCGCGCCGCUAUCUCCAAACCUCCGCGCCGAUGGGUUUAGGGUCGGGGCUCCUCCGCAGAUUGUGGGGCUGCGGGCACGUGCCCGUUGGGGCUGGCAGCAGCACGGCGAGCCCGACGGGUGCACGUGCCACCUUUUGGGCUCCGGUGGCUGCCCCGGGCAUGCUGCGGGUGCUGCGCAGCCCCCGUGUCCCCUCGGCAGCCCCGGGGGCCGUUUUGGCAGCGGCGCGUUUCCUCCCCGCCGCACAUGACGGGAAGGGGUGACCUCGGGGCUGGAUAGCGAUCGCCCUUCACCGCUGAUCCCAGCCCGGUGAUGGGGGUGGCUGGGGGGGACACGCUGCGUCCUCGUGGGCACCCAGGCAGGCUGGGUGUUGGAGAGCCCUGGGAAGGGCCGGCGGCCAGCGCACGUGUGCCGGCAGCUGCCGAAAUCCCCACGGCGUUGGGGACAGCGAUGGGGCGCCCGGCCCCACUCCCCAUCCCGUGCCAGCCGAGGGGAAGCACACGCCGUCCCCGCUGAUAUCCCCAUCCCUUCCUGCACGGCCGGCAGGAAGGAGCUGCGAGGCUCCAGCUCCUCUUUAUCUGCUCCCCGGCCUUUUGUCCCCGUGACCGCGGGGCUCCUGCGCUGCCAUCCCCGUGGGCGCGAUGCCUCGCUGGGGACCUUCUCCCUCUCCUAAAAGCAAACCUUCCCAGCCCAUCUGUGUGGCCAAAGCGAGCUCCAGCUCCAUCCCCUUCUCCCACCUCAGGGUUUCCUAAAAGUGGGACCGUGUGGGGUCGUAGCGGGGUGCUCAGGAGGGCGCUGCCCAGCCGGACCCCUCGCCGCGGGCUCCCCAAACCGAGCGGCGCUCGGUGCGAAGCCUCCGCUCCGGCCCUGCCUCCCCCUUCCCCCCUCAACCAGCGCGGGUUAUUUGCAUUCUUUAUGUAAAAGAGAUUUUAUUAUCGCCUUCUCCCAGCCCAUCUCUAUUCUGGUAAUUGGAGUGGUAUUAAUUUCUGUGUGGCUGGGAGUUGAUGGCGGUCCGGCGAUGCUGCAGCGAUAGGGUGUUCCUUUCGCACCAACCGCCGCGAUAGCCCGUCUAUCAGGCGCUCUGCAGGCUCUGCACUUAUCAGGGAUGGAGCUGGCAAAAAGGGAAACUCUGAGCAGCCUGAAUUUUCUUUUUAUCUGGCAGGAUCCGCCGUAUGUCAGCAAUGGCAGCCGCGAAGAUGUGGCGGGGAGGGGGGGGCGGGCGCGAGGCUGCUCCCAGGCGCCUUUGUUCGCGCCCCGCGGGGU
RNAcentral lists this long non-coding RNA (1752 nucleotides) under Anas platyrhynchos platyrhynchos (common mallard). RNAcentral describes it as "lncRNA (ENSAPLG00000028674.1)". Lineage: Eukaryota; Metazoa; Chordata; Aves; Anseriformes; Anatidae. The record is from RNAcentral.